AACGAACGCUGGCGGCAUGCCUAACACAUGCAAGUCGAACGAGACCUUCGGGUCUAGUGGCGCACGGGUGCGUAACGCGUGGGAACCUGCGCUUAGGUUCGGAAUAACUCCCCGAAAGGGGUGCUAAUACCGGAUAAUUUCUUCGGACCAAAGAUUUAUCGCCUUUGGAUGGGCCCGAGAUGGAUUCGCUAGUUGGUAGGGUAAAAGCCUAUCAAGACGACGAUCCAUAGCUGGUCGGAGAGGAUGAUCAGCCACACUGGGACUGAGACACGGCCCAGACUCCUACGCGUGGCAGCAGUUGGAAAUAUUGGACAAUGGGCCAGAGCCUGAUCCAGCCAUGACGCGUGAGUGAUGCAGGCCUUAGGGUUGUAAAGCUCUUUUACCCGGGAUGAUAAUGACAGUACCGGAAGAAUAAGCACCGGCUAACUACGUG
Molecule: ribosomal RNA, 433 nt
Filed under: uncultured bacterium
Lineage: Bacteria
Description: partial 16S ribosomal RNA
Rfam family: Bacterial small subunit ribosomal RNA
Source: RNAcentral